Long non-coding RNA from Octopus sinensis (East Asian common octopus), 562 nucleotides. RefSeq lists it as uncharacterized. The transcript has 2 exons. NCBI's taxonomy places the organism in Eukaryota, Metazoa, Mollusca, Cephalopoda, Octopoda, Octopodidae. The record is from RefSeq and is a predicted model, not a curated record.
UUUAAACUUUUGAUAUCACAGUUGAACAGAAAGAAGAAUUUAUUUACAAAAUUCAAAUGUGAAAUGAAAUACAAUAAAAAUAUAUAAAAAAAAAAACGAAACAGGAUAAAUUUAAUAUGUACAAGAGACAAAUAUAGAUCAUUAUAAAAUAACAAAGAUGGUUAAAUAAUUUCACUGUGAAGUGCUAAAAGUAGAAAAAGGUUAUUAAAAUAUUUUUUUAGUUUACUUAUCUGUAAGUUAUGCUAAAGAGAGAGUCAACAGAGCUAAGGACCCAGCAGGCAAAGAAUUGUUAGCAAAUGCUAAAACUACACAACUUAUACAAUAGAAAGCAAGUGAAAAUAUCAAGAAUUAUAAAGCUAUGUAAGAUUGUGGUAGAAUUUUAAAAAAAUGAAUAACAAAAAGAUUUAUAAAAAGGAUACAAAACAGCCUCCACACUUUUAUAAAUAUAUACAAAUAAUAUAACUGAGCCACAAGAAGUCUAGAAAACCAUUUAUAAGGCAACAGUGCUAAAGUAAUAAAAAGUUCAAAAAACACUUUCCUCAGUGAAUCUGCCGGUCAGUUU